AGUAAGUUGGCAGAACAGUGCCACUGACUUAGAAUCAGAAAACGGGUAUACACCCACUUACUAC
RNAcentral lists this transfer RNA (64 nucleotides) under Serbiona mehadiensis. RNAcentral's name for it is "tRNA-Leu". The record is from RNAcentral. Lineage: Eukaryota; Metazoa; Annelida; Clitellata; Crassiclitellata; Lumbricidae.